GAGGACGUGUCGUACAGCUGCUUUAUGAAUACCUGAUGAUAACCCAUGAAAAGAUUCAUCCCCGUGCCGGCAGGUAUGGAUUUAAUACGGAGCUGUCUCCCGAAUCUCCCCAACACACCGUCCGGUGAUACUGCAAAUACAGCCGUGAGGCUGCUUCCAUUCAAACUGCCUCUUUGCACCCCAGUAGUGUAUAUACCAGAAGCCAAAACUGUGAUCAGAAUGUAUUCCUGAGGCUUUCUGCAAUGUAAGUGUCAGUCAUGCAAUUUUUUUCGGUGAAUUUUGCCUUCUAUUGUCAUUUUAUUCUCAUAAUUUAAAAAAAAAAAAAAAAUUUUUUUUUUUUUGGUGUGUGGAGUAACUUUUGAAUAAUAAGGCAAAAAAAAAAUUGCUUCAACUCAAUAGCUGCAUCCAUAAGGAAUAAUGACAGUAAUGUUCCAAUGUCAGUGCUCCUUUUUGUAGUAAUAAGCAUACAGUGCUGUAUGACUACACACACAAAGAUAUCGGGUGUUGACUGUAUUAACAUGGAACUUUAUUUUAGUAAUGUGGGUUUUUUUAUUAUUAUUUUUUUUAUUUCUGCAGCUUGGAAAGUCUCUAAGCUAUUCUGAUUUCAGAAUCCCCCUCCUCAGUAAUCAGAGAGAAAGCUUUCAGAUGACAUGUCUAUGCAAGGCAAGGCUCUGACAACGUCCUUCAUGGCGACAUCUAAGUUAAUUAGACCACUUUCAGAAGACAGGAUUGCAUUUUGAUACUCAGAAUUUAAUAUUUGUGAAUUCCUUCAAUGUUAAAACACACCACCAUCUGCAAAACAAAUCCAGUCAGUCACUUUCUUCAAAGUGAUGUAACUUCUUGAGAGGUAAUCUGCAAUAUUUUUUUUGUUAUAAAUAAAACAUCUAUUCCAGAUUUACAAAAGGCUCUUAAAAAAAAGGCUUCAAAUUUAACUUUCUCCUUAGAUAAUGUAGAAAUAAAAGGGGAAAAAAACUAUAAAAUAAGUAGGGUUAAAAGUAGUAACAGUGAAAGGAGACAUAAAAAGCUUCCAGGAUGUGUAUCUAAAGCUUGUAUAUUUACUGCCAUGAACAAAGACUGUGGCUAUACUGAGGAGAGGUGGAAUAACAAGAAAAUACUGAUCUACAUAUAGACUGGUUUUAUAUUUAUCCUGAAAAUACACCAGUUACAUCAGAACAAACAAAACCCAAGAAAUCAGAAGUUGUAACUUUUGAGCACAUCUGAUUACAUGCUGUAUGAGAGGGAAAAAAAAUCAACAUACGUAGAUGGCAAUUGAAACACUUUUCUGUGGGGAAGGAAGUCACAUUGAAGACAUGCUACAUCAAACAAUUAAACACUUAGAGAAUAAGCAACUCCAAAUUUGAGAAAACAGACUUUUUUUGUGAAGUGGUAGUUACUUAUUGAUUGAAGCACUUUUGCCAUGCAAGUAGUAUUUUUCCUAAGUUCUAAACAGAGAGAAAAUGAUGCAUUUGUAAAUUAGUACAGAAAUGUACAGUGUCACUGCAAAAGUCACUGCCAGAAUCUGAAUGUGAAGGUUCUCAUCUGUUUAUUCUCUCCAAUAGAAUUUAAGGCAUUUAUUAUGUGCUCUCACUAGUGACAGUGAAACACUAACUAGUAAAACUACUUACCUUUGUCACAAGAGACAUGAAAUACUGCACACAAAUACAACUGAAAAGUGUCUAUUAGCAUAACCUUUUGAGGACAACCUUCUUAAAUACAGAAAGCCUUUAUUUACUCUGCAGUACUUAGCUUCUUUUCAGUGAUACCCAAAUAGGGGGAAAAAAGCCCAACCCAAGCUGCUGUAUCACAAGACAAAGAUCUGAUUUACCACAAGUUAACUGUUUUCUUAACAGGCCUAGUAGCCAAUAGUUUUCAACUGUUCAGAUCACCUUUACCUGUAGAAAUAAUCAGCACGCUAACUUACACUUAGGCCACAAGACCUUCUGUAGGAACUGCUAUGUGUAGAAAUGCCUGCCUAGUAGGGCUUACAGAUAGCUUUGUUAAAAUUGAAGCCUUCUGUUAUGUAAGAUGACCUGACAUGAGUUAUUCUCAUGUGCAGGUCUCACCACAAAGC
This is a long non-coding RNA of Tympanuchus pallidicinctus (lesser prairie-chicken), 2071 nucleotides long. RefSeq lists it as uncharacterized. NCBI's taxonomy places the organism in Eukaryota, Metazoa, Chordata, Aves, Galliformes, Phasianidae. The transcript is spliced from 3 exons. The record is from RefSeq and is a predicted model, not a curated record.